Molecule: long non-coding RNA, 1478 nt
Organism: Nicotiana attenuata
Lineage: Eukaryota; Viridiplantae; Streptophyta; Magnoliopsida; Solanales; Solanaceae
Exons: 3
Source: RefSeq, a predicted model, not a curated record
UCUCUUCCUCCUUUUAUUUUAUUCGCCAUUCCUUUUUUGUACAGAACUUUGCAAAUAUGGCUACAACACUUCAUGAAAUUAGUCAAAUUUUAAGCAAUUCGAUGGAAUGAAAUCUGUAAGUGAGAGUUGUUCGAAUGUGAAAAAUUCCGGAUCGUUUCAAGCCUCAUAUACCAUAUUUCAUAGAGUUAAUUUUGCAAGAUAAAAAGAGGCUUAUUGCACGAUGCUCUUACUCAACUUGCUAACUCUGGUAUGAAUUCUUUUUGUUCCACAUAGCCUCAAAGUUCUAAGACCAUUUAUAUAAAUCGUUAUUUCAUUGAUAUGGAACGAACCAUAGCAAUUAGUACAGUUUACCUAUAGUGAAUCUUUGUACUUAAUAUUAUCUAUUAUGUUCAAAGUAAAUCUCUGGCAGAUAUUAUAUAUGGCCGGCUCACAUAGCAGUAUGAUACAUCCUAAUAAUGAUUGUACGUACCUUUCUAUCGCGCUGCGAAAAUUAUAUAUAUGAGUUCUGGUCAAGUCGUCAAGUUGUCAAGUUACUAACAUGAGGUAUAUAUACCGAUCCAAAAGUGUCCUUCAUCUGAGAUGCUGCACAUUUUAUUUAAGUCUAUAUAGAUACUAACAUUGGAAUCAUAAUUUUAAAUAACUCCAAAUAGGCAAAGUACAAUCGUACAUAGUAUCACUGUAGAAGCUUUCAUUGAUUAUCACUUCACCAAUAAUAAGCUUAUUUAAGCAAGUACAUGUUAAAUUAAUAGAUUGUUAUUUCAUUGAUAUGGAACGAACCAUAGCAAUUAGUAUAGUUCACCUAUAGUGAAUCUUUGUACUUAAUAACAUCCAUUAUGUUCAAAGUAAAUCUCUUUCAGAUGUUAUAUAUGGUCGUCUCACAUAGCAAUAUGAUACAUCCUAAUAAUGAAUGUACCUUUCUAGGGUAAUUGUAUACAUGCCUCAAUAGGAAAGUAUGUAAUUAAGUUCUUUAGGACUAAGAUACAAGAACUCGCCUUAUAUCGCAUGAACUUCUUUGUUAUCGGGCCAAAUAACUUGAAAACUACGACAUAUAAUUUGAGGCUGACAUUUACACAGAGGACAGUUGUUGAGGUAACAACUGGCUCUUCAUUUCAUAUGAAAAUCUUUAAUCUUUGUCCUUUUGAUAAGCUAACAAAUCAAUAUCAUGUGGAUGAGGCAGAAUUAUCCGGUAAUUCUUCACUUCCAUUUUGUUUUAAUAUUAGGUAUUGUAAACUUUGCGACUAACUUUUAUAUUUGUGGAUGUGAUUGGUUAGGUUGUGAUCUAUGGAGCUGUUCAGACCUACAAGCAAGGAGAUAACAAAAGUGUCUUUAUGAAUGUUAAACUCGAAGAUGAGCAAUAGCAGCAACACCUGCUGAAUACUACCACCAAAUGCAAGACAAUCAUCUACGUUCAUGAUGAAUCCUUCUUCAACGUCCAUGUUCAUUAGCAGAUGAUACUGCAUGGAUUCCACGAACACAGA